Molecule: ribosomal RNA, 253 nt
Filed under: uncultured bacterium
Lineage: Bacteria
Description: partial 16S ribosomal RNA
Rfam family: Bacterial small subunit ribosomal RNA
Source: RNAcentral
UACAGAGGGGGCAAGCGUUGUUCGGAAUUACUGGGCGUAAAGGGCGCGUAGGCGGAUAGUUUAGUCAGAGGUGAAAGCCCAGGGCUCAACCUUGGAAUUGCCUUUGAUACUGGCUAUCUUGAGUUCGGGAGAGGUGAGUGGAAUGCCGAGUGUAGAGGUGAAAUUCGUAGAUAUUCGGCGGAACACCAGUGGCGAAGGCGACUCACUGGCCCGAUACUGACGCUGAGGCGCGAAAGCGUGGGGAGCAAACAGG